Molecule: ribosomal RNA, 254 nt
Filed under: uncultured bacterium
Lineage: Bacteria
Description: partial 16S ribosomal RNA
Rfam family: Bacterial small subunit ribosomal RNA
Source: RNAcentral
UACAGGGGGAGCAAGCGUUGUUCGGAUUUACUGGGCGUAAAGGGCGCGUAGGCGGCGUGGUAAGUCAAUUGUGAAAUCUCCGAGCUUAACUCGGAACGGUCAAUUGAUACUGCUGUGCUAGAGUGCAGAAAGGGCAAUCGGAAUUCUUGGUGUAGCGGUGAAAUGCGUAGAUAUCAAGAGGAACACCUGAGGCGAAGGCGGGUUGCUAGGCUGACACUGACGCUGAGGCGCGAAAGCUAGGGGUAGCAAACGGG